Molecule: ribosomal RNA, 894 nt
Filed under: uncultured archaeon
Lineage: Archaea
Description: bacterial SSU rRNA
Rfam family: Archaeal small subunit ribosomal RNA
Source: RNAcentral
CCGACUGCUAUUUGGGUGAGAAUAAGCCAUGCGAGUUGAAUGGGAUACCUAAAGUUCCCAUAGCAAACUGCUCAGUAACACAUGAUCAACUUACCCUAUAGAGAAAAAUAACCUCGGGAAACUGAGGAUAAUGUUUCAUAAUUGAAUUGGCUUGGAAAAGUUUUUCAAUGAAAAGGAUAAAAAAAAUGGUUUUUAUCCGCUAUAGGAUAGGAUCGUGUUCGAUUAUGGUUGUUGGUGAGAUAAUGGCUCACCAAGCCGAUAAUCGAUAGGGGCCGUGAGAGCGGGAGCCCCGAGAUGGGUACUGAGACAACGACCCAGGCCUUACGAGGCGCAGCAGGCGCGAAACCUCCGCAAUACACGAAAGUGUGACGGGGUUACCCAAAGUGUUCAAUUUGAACUGUGGUAGGUGAGUAAUGUCCCCUACUAGAAAGGAGAGGGCAAGGCUGGUGCCAGCCGCCGCGGUAAAACCAGCUCUUCAAGUGGUCGGGAUAAUUAUUGGGCUUAAAGUGUCCGUAGCCGGUUUAGUAAGUUCCUGGUAAAAUCGGGUAGCUUAACUAUCUGCAUGCUAGGAAUACUGCUAUACUAGAGGGCGGGAGAGGUCUGAGGUACUACAGGGGUAGGGGUGAAAUCUUAUAAUCCUUGUAGGACCACCAGUGGCGAAGGCGUCAGACUGGAACGCGCCUGACGGUGAGGGACGAAAGCCAGGGGAGCGAACCGGAUUAGAUACCCGGGUAGUCCUGGCCGUAAACGAUGCAUACUAGGUGAUGGUACGGCCAUGAGCCGUAUCAGUGCCGUAGGGAAACCGUUAAGUGUGCCGCCUGGGAAGUACGGUCGCAAGGCUAAAACUUAAAGGAAUUGGCGGGGGAGCACCACAAGGGGUGAAGCCUGCGGUUC